UGAGUCAUCUCGGUGAAGCUGCCAGCAGUCCCGUCACGAGUCAUCUUGGGCUGCGAGUGAGGUUUGUCAGGACGCUCCACUUUUAACAAAGACCAGAGUCCCAGAGGCCAUGAGAGUGGCUGAAUAGGGUGGUGGCGCUUACUUGGGUGACUUGAGGGACAGGCCUGAGGAUAAUGGGAACCGCAGCCCACGUCUAACGAGGGCGGCCAGAUACUGGAAUUAACCACGUUUAGCUGCUCUAAUUCUCCGACUCAGGAGACUCCAUUAUUUCACUCCAUUUUAUAAAAGAGGAAGCUGUGCCCGGGGAGGCCAGGAACCUGCUCCAGGUCCCACGUUAGCAAGGGGUGGUGACGGGGCCUGACUAUUCUUCCGAUUCCUACAAGGCAGUCAUCCCCCAGGCCCACCCGUGGGGGAAGUGAUCCAGACCCCCAGGGCACACCCGGAAUCUUGGAUGGGACCAAACUCCACGCACACUGUUUCCCCCUAGGCGUGUGCACCAGUGAUGAAGUUUAAUUUGUAAACUAGGAACAGUCCGAGAUGAGAACAGCUGGGAAGAAAACCAAGUGCUGUGAGUGUCGCCUCGUUCUCUUUCCUCCUCUCUCCAAAUCUCUCUCUGCACUGCAUUCGCCCUCCUUCCGGUGGUGAUGGGAGAUGACCCCCGGCCUGCAUGAGGCUGUGAAGAGAGGGCCUGCAGGAAGCCUGGACUGAGGGUUUAAUGAGAGGACCACCUCAACUGCACAGCGAGGGUUAAGUGUGUUCCUGCUUCUGUAAAUCGAGGUGCCCACAUCUCCCGCACGUGCAGAGGGACACGCCUUAUUCUGGACAACUGGAGUCAACCUGCCUUGGCUUCUUGCCUCCCUGGCCCCCCCAUCCCCUGGGGAGCCUCCUAACGCGAGGGUUUUCCUACAUCUGUGGCCAGGGUCCUUUGAGAAGAGAUGGGGGCCCAGCCCUGGAAGCUGCUUGAAGGGAGUCUGGGCUGCUGUGGACUUCUUGAGCUGAGAAGGAGGACAAGGCUUCCUGAGCCACAGGGGGCAGCCCUGCUGGACUCCCGCAGUGAUACUGGCCUCCUCCAGCGGGGAAGUGACCCCAGGGGUCCUGUUCUUUCUCCCGUCUCUGGCGACAUGGUAAGGGAUUGGGAUGCUCAUCUGGGUGUUGUGUUCACUCAGUGGAGAAAUCCGAGGUCUGGAGCUGUCUGGUUUGGUCCUCGGGUUUGCCACUCCCCGCCCAGGGAUCCUCUGCUUGCUCGCCGCCGUAGGGCACUUGCAGAGCUGGGGAAGAGCGAGCUCUGAGGAUUUGCAGGAAAAGGGCAGAUUGUCCCUAAGGGGAACAAGGAGAUGGCGUCCUUUGAGCUCUGCAGCCGGUUUCUUGCGGUGCCCUGUGGGUGGGCUUGUGGGUCGUGGAGGGCCACACAGCAGGCCUCCUGCCUUGGCAGAGCCCAAGCCUUAACCCAGCAUGGGGGCCCUGGGCUGUUGGAUUUCUGGGGAGCAGCAUAGACCACAGACUCCCCCAAAGUUCUACUUUGGCAAGAAUCGCUGUCUCCUUCAUAUGACCCUGGGGAGGGAGGUGGCGGGGAGGGAGCCCUAACACGGAACAAGAUUGUGCUUCUUGGCA
Molecule: long non-coding RNA, 1611 nt
Organism: Marmota monax (woodchuck)
Lineage: Eukaryota; Metazoa; Chordata; Mammalia; Rodentia; Sciuridae
Exons: 5
Source: RefSeq, a predicted model, not a curated record